Molecule: long non-coding RNA, 526 nt
Filed under: Mytilus galloprovincialis (Mediterranean mussel)
Lineage: Eukaryota; Metazoa; Mollusca; Bivalvia; Mytilida; Mytilidae
Source: RNAcentral
CUAUAUUUUGUUGUAUGGAAUGAUUGUAAGGUGUACAUGUCUAGCGGGCAGAUGUCAUGUGACCUUGACCUCAUUUUCAUGGUUCAGUGGUCAAAGUUAAGUUUUUGAGUUUUGGUCAUUUUAUCUAAUACUAUAUGCCAUAGGUCAACUAUAUUUGGUGUAUGGAAAUAUUUUAUGAUCUUUAUGUCAGUGGCGCAGGUUUUAUUUGACCGUGACCUCAUUUUCACUGUUCAUUGCACAGUGUUAAGUUUUUGUGUUUUGGUCUAUUUUUCUUAAACUAAAAGUAAUGGGUCAACUAUUUAUGUUGUAUAGAAGCAUUGUUAGCUGUACAUGUCUGCCUGGUAUGGUUCAUCUGACCUUGACCUCAUUUUCAAGGUUCAUUGGUCUUUGUUUAGUUAUCUUGGUUAAUGUUAAGUUUAUGUGACAGUUGUAAUAAAGCUCAGCUUUAUACUUAGGACUAUCAACAUAAUAUCAAUGAUUAGUAUAGAAGGCGAGACAUUUCAGCGUGUGCACUCUUGUUAAGUUU